This 260-nucleotide ribosomal RNA is filed under the name uncultured Cellulophaga sp. RNAcentral describes it as "partial 16S ribosomal RNA". It matches the Rfam family "Bacterial small subunit ribosomal RNA", at positions 401 to 658 of the family's 1533-position model. Lineage: Bacteria; Pseudomonadati; Bacteroidota; Flavobacteriia; Flavobacteriales; Flavobacteriaceae. The record is from RNAcentral.
UGUAGGAAGACUGCCCUAUGGGUUGUAAACUACUUUUAUACAGGAAGAAUAAGAUCUACGUGUAGAUUGAUGCCGGUACUGUAAGAAUAAGGACCGGCUAACUCCGUGCCAGCAGCCGCGGUAAUACGGAGGGUCCGAGCGUUAUCCGGAAUUAUUGGGUUUAAAGGGUCCGUAGGCGGGCUGUUAAGUCAGAGGUGAAAUGCUGCGGUUCAACCGUAUGCACUGCCUUUGAUACUGGCGGUCUUGAGUUAUAGUGAAGU